GACGGAGGAUGCAAGCGUUAUCCGGAAUGAUUGGGCGUAAAGCGUCCGCAGGUGGCAGUUCAAGUCUGCUGUCAAAGACCGGGGCUUAACUUCGGAAAGGCAGUGGAAACUGAACAGCUAGAGUAUGGUAGGGGCAGAGGGAAUUCCUGGUGUAGCGGUGAAAUGCGUAGAGAUCAGGAAGAACAUCGGUGGCGAAGGCGCUCUGCUGGACCAUAACUGACGCUGAGACACGAAAGCGUGGGUAGCAAACAGG
RNAcentral lists this ribosomal RNA (253 nucleotides) under uncultured bacterium. RNAcentral describes it as "partial 16S ribosomal RNA". It matches the Rfam family "Bacterial small subunit ribosomal RNA", at positions 524 to 776 of the family's 1533-position model. The record is from RNAcentral.